AGGCUCGCCUCAGGUUUUAUUCAGAGAACUAUCAGUGUGGCUUGGCCCAUCUCUUUCUAGUCCCAGAAAGAAUUGCACUGAAAUGCUGAGUUCCUAUAAUGAAAAUGACCAUUUGCUGAGAAUAAUUAACAUACUGAAAGAGAUUUUCUUAAGAGUACACAAUGGUGACAUUAUAUUGUCUCUUUAUAAAUGACUUCCUAUCUAUUUCUGUGAAUUAUUUCUACAGAGUACUUUUCACAUGUCUAAUUUCUUUUCUUCCCCUACGACUACUGUCUGAAUACUGGCUCUGCUGUUCACUGUUAUGACUCUCGGCAAGUUGCCUGCACUUUUUAAACUUUAUUUCCACAUUCAGAACAUGGGGCCAUACAUAAUUCAACUCACUUCUGUGUUAUUGGGGAGUUAAAGAAAAAAUGCAUGGGAAGCAUUUAGCAUAGCACCUGAGACAGUAAUGAACACUCAGUAGAUAUUAGCUUUUGUUAAUAUUGUUGUUAUGUCCAGAAGCACUGUACCUCCAGAAAAUCAUGGGUACUUGCUGGGGACAUUGGGAAUAUGCAUGACUUCAAAAGGUACGACUGCUUUUUUCUCCUUAGGUGAGAAAUUUUUCUGAACUAGACUCUUUCAAACAUUGUAAGAUUCUGUUGUGGAUUCUAGGACUGAAAGAAUUCUUGGCACAGUGUGGUGUCUUAUCCCUGUAAUCCCAGCAUUUUGGGAGGACAAGGCAGGAAGAUUGCUUGAGCCCAGGAGUUCGAAACCAGCCUGGGCAACAUGGCAAAACCCUGUCUCUACAAAAAGUACAUAGAUUAGCUGGGCGUAGCGGUGAGUGCCUGCACUCCCAGAUACUCGGGAGGCUGAGAUGGGAGGAUCACCUGACACUGGGCAGUUUGAAGCUUCAGUAAGCUGUGAUGACACCGCACUAUACUCCACUCCAGCCAGGGCGACAGUGAGAUGCUGCCUCAAAAAAAAUCACAAAAUUAUAUGUCACCACAGUGGAUCCCAAAGACAAUUAUUCAGAAGAUGCAAAUGAUGCACUACUGCUGCAGCUCACAAACACCUCUGCAUAUUACAUGUACCUCCUCCUGCUCGUCAAGAGUGAGGUCUAUUUUGCCAUCAUCGCCGUCUGUCUGCUUAGAAGAACGGCUGUCUGCUGCAAUGGAGAGAGACCCUAACAGACGGUGGCACAAGGACGCCAUCUUUUCCUCAUCGGUUAUUGUCCCUAGAAGUGUCUUCUGAGGAUCUAGUUGGGCUUUCUUUCUGGGUUUGAGCUAUUUCACUUCUCAUGUGUGUACUAUUCUAUCAUUGUUGUAGAAUGGUUUUCAAACCAGUGGGCACACAGAAAACCUCAGUCUGUGAUGACAAUGAGGAAUAGCCAUGGCAGUCUCCAGCACCACUCUCUCCAUAUUCUCCACAGCUCCUCCAGCCAACCCAAAUAGCCACUGCCAUGGUGUAGACAGUCCGCGGCUUCUAGCCUUGUCCCUCCCUUAGUGUUCUUUAAUCAGAUAACUGCCUGGAAGCCUUUCAUUUGACCCGCCCUGAAGCAGCCUUCUUUGCUAGUUGAAUUACAUGGUGUAUUUUCCUAACAGGCAAAAUAAAUUUAAAAUAAUGAAAAGUUGACUUUUGUGCAUGUGUAUUUUAAUUGGAUGAUAUCGAAUUGAAAAUCCAAGGUAAGAAACCUCAUGGCAAUUGGGCU
RNAcentral lists this long non-coding RNA (1687 nucleotides) under Rhinopithecus bieti (black snub-nosed monkey). Its description in RNAcentral is "lncRNA (ENSRBIG00000045795.1)". The record is from RNAcentral. Lineage: Eukaryota; Metazoa; Chordata; Mammalia; Primates; Cercopithecidae.